This 147-nucleotide unclassified non-coding RNA is filed under the name uncultured Amanita. Its description in RNAcentral is "sequence contains ITS2". The record is from RNAcentral. Lineage: Eukaryota; Fungi; Basidiomycota; Agaricomycetes; Agaricales; Amanitaceae.
AACUAUCGAAACACUUUUCUUGGGUGUUUUGGACUUUGGGAGUGUUCUGCUGGUCUCUAUGAGCCCGGCUCUCCUCAAAAGCAUUGGCUUUGGAGACUGUCAGUGUGAUAAUUUGUUUGCGCUGACUUGGGUGUCUCUGCCCUCCUC